RNAcentral lists this ribosomal RNA (468 nucleotides) under uncultured bacterium. RNAcentral's name for it is "partial 16S ribosomal RNA". It matches the Rfam family "Bacterial small subunit ribosomal RNA", at positions 28 to 507 of the family's 1533-position model. The record is from RNAcentral.
GACGAACGCUGGCGGCGUGCUUAACACAUGCAAGUCGAACGGAAAGGCCCUGCUUUUGUGGGGUGCUCGAGUGGCGAACGGGUGAGUAACACGUGAGUAACCUGCCCUUGACUUUGGGAUAACUUCAGGAAACUGGGGCUAAUACCGGAUAGGAGCUCCUGCUGCAUGGUGGGGGUUGGAAAGUUUCGGCGGUUGGGGAUGGACUCGCGGCUUAUCAGCUUGUUGGUGGGGUAGUGGCUUACCAAGGCUUUGAAGGGUAGCCGGCCUGAGAGGGGGACCGGCCACAUUGGGACUGCGAUACGGCCCAGACUCCUACGGGAGGCAGCAGUGGGGAAUAUUGCACAAUGGGCGGAAGCCUGAUGCAGCAACGCCGCGUGCGUGAUGACGGCCUUCGGGUUGUAAACCGCUUUCGCCUGUGACGAAGCGUGAGUGACGGUAAUGGGUAAAGAAGCACCGGCUAACUACGUG